RNAcentral lists this ribosomal RNA (662 nucleotides) under uncultured Saprospiraceae bacterium. RNAcentral's name for it is "bacterial SSU rRNA". It matches the Rfam family "Bacterial small subunit ribosomal RNA", at positions 75 to 733 of the family's 1533-position model. Lineage: Bacteria; Pseudomonadati; Bacteroidota; Saprospiria; Saprospirales; Saprospiraceae. The record is from RNAcentral.
UGUAGCAAUACAUUGCUGGCGACCGGCAAACGGGUGCGGAACACGUACGCAACCUUCCUUUAAGUGGGGAAUAGCCCAGGGAAACUUGGAUUAAUACCUCGUAACAUUAUGAGACGGCAUCGUUUUAUAAUUAUAGCUCCGGCGCUUAAAGAUGGGCGUGCGCCUGAUUAGGUAGUUGGCGGGGUAACGGCCCACCAAGCCUUCGAUCAGUAACUGGUGUGAGAGCACGACCAGUCACACGGGCACUGAGACACGGGCCCGACUCCUACGGGAGGCAGCAGUAAGGAAUAUUGGUCAAUGGACGCAAGUCUGAACCAGCCAUGCCGCGUGGAGGAUGAAGGUCCUCUGGAUUGUAAACUUCUUUUAUUUGGGAAGAAACCCAUGUUUUCUAAUGUGGUUGACGGUACCAGAUGAAUAAGCACCGGCUAACUCCGUGCCAGCAGCCGCGGUAAUACGGAGGGUGCAAGCGUUAUCCGGAUUCACUGGGUUUAAAGGGUGCGUAGGCGGGUUGGAAAGUCCGUGGUGAAAUCCCCAAGCUUAACUUGGGAACUGCCGUGGAUACUCUCAAUCUUGAAUAUCGUGGAGGUAAGCGGAAUAUGUCAUGUAGCGGUGAAAUGCUUAGAUAUGACAUAGAACACCAAUUGCGUAGGCAGCUUACUACA